RNAcentral lists this ribosomal RNA (500 nucleotides) under uncultured bacterium. RNAcentral's name for it is "partial 16S ribosomal RNA". It matches the Rfam family "Bacterial small subunit ribosomal RNA", at positions 30 to 523 of the family's 1533-position model. The record is from RNAcentral.
AUUGAACGCUGGCGGAAUGCUUUACACAUGCAAGCCGAACGGCAGCACGGACUUCGGUCUGGUGGCGAGUGGCGAACGGGUGAGUAAUGUAUCGGAACGUGCCCAGUCGUGGGGGAUAACGUAGUGAAAAUUACGCUAAUACCGCAUACGAUCUAUGGAUGAAAGCGGGGGAUCGCAAGACCUCGCGCGAUUGGAGCGGCCGAUAUCAGAGUAGGUAGUUGGUGGGGUAAAGGCACACCAAGCCAACGAUCUGUAGCUGGUCUGAGAGGACGACCAGACACACUGGAACUGAGACACGGUCCAGCAUCCUACGGGAGGCAGCAGGGGGGAAUUUUGGACAAUGGGCGAAAGCCUGAUCCAGCCAUUCCGCGUGCAGGAUGAAGGCCCUCGGGUUGUAAACUGCUUUUGUACAGAACGAAAAGGCUCUGGUUAAUACCUGGGGCUCAUGACGGUACCGUAAGAAUAAGCACCGGCUAACUACGUGCCAGCAGCCGCCGCGG